Molecule: ribosomal RNA, 409 nt
Filed under: uncultured prokaryote
Also listed under: 1 other name
Description: bacterial SSU rRNA
Rfam family: Bacterial small subunit ribosomal RNA
Source: RNAcentral
UGGGGAAUAUUGCGCAAUGGGCGAAAGCCUGACGCAGCAACGCCGCGUGCGGGAUGAAGGCCUUCGGGUUGUAAACCGCUUUCAGCAGGGACGAAGGUUUUCUGACGGUACCUGCAGAAGAAGCACCGGCUAACUACGUGCCAGCAGCCGCGGUGAUACGUAGGGUGCGAGCGUUGUCCGGAAUUAUUGGGCGUAAAGAGCUUGUAGGCGGUCUGUUGCGUCGGAAGUGAAAACUCAGGGCUUAACCCUGAGCCUGCUUUCGAUACGGGCAGACUUGAGGGAUGUAGGGGAGAACGGAAUUCCUGGUGGAGCGGUGGAAUGCGCAGAUAUCAGGAGGAACACCAGUGGCGAAGGCGGUUCUCUGGACAUCUCCUGACGCUGAGAAGCGAAAGCGUGGGGAGCAAACAGG